RNAcentral lists this ribosomal RNA (253 nucleotides) under uncultured bacterium. RNAcentral's name for it is "partial 16S ribosomal RNA". It matches the Rfam family "Bacterial small subunit ribosomal RNA", at positions 524 to 776 of the family's 1533-position model. The record is from RNAcentral.
UACAGAGGUCCCAAGCGUUGUUCGGAUUCACUGGGCGUAAAGGGUGCGUAGGCGGUUGGGUAAGCUUGACGUGAAAUCUCCGAGCCUAACUCGGAAACUGCGUUGAAUACUAUCCAACUUGAGGAAUGGAGGGGAGACUGGAAUACUUGGUGUAGCAGUGAAAUGCGUAGAUAUCAAGUGGAACACCAGUGGCGAAGGCGAGUCUCUAGACAUUUCCUGACGCUGAGGCACGAAAGCGUGGGGAGCAAACAGG